GACGAACGCUAGCGGCGUGCCUAAGCUAUGCAAGUCGAGCGGGGUUUCAGAGUCGAGUUUCCUUCGGGAGACAAAGCACUGAAACCUAGCGGCGAACGGGUGAGUAACACGUGAGCAACCUACCCUGUUGUCCGGGAUAACAGACCGAAAGGCCUGCUAAUACCGGAUACGAAGCUCCUUCGCAUGUUGGAGCUUGGAAAGGGGCAACCCGCAAUGGGAGGGGCUUACGGCCUAUCAGCUAGUUGGUGAGGUAACGGCCCACCAAGGCGACGACGGGUAGCCGACCUGAGAGGGUGACCGGCCACACUGGGACUGAGACACGGCCCAGACUCCUACGGGAGGCAGCAAGCGGGAAUCUUGCACAAUGGGCGCAAGCCUGAUGCAGCGACGCCGCGUGAGGGAUGAAGGCCUUCGGGUCGUAAACCUCUGUUGACGGGGACGAAGAUCUGACGGUACCCAUCGAG
Molecule: ribosomal RNA, 464 nt
Filed under: uncultured bacterium
Lineage: Bacteria
Description: bacterial SSU rRNA
Rfam family: Bacterial small subunit ribosomal RNA
Source: RNAcentral